GGUCUCGGUCUUCCUAGGGAGCCCCAUUCUUGGUUCUCUGGCUUUGGCCCUUUGUGGGCGCCUAGCUCAAGGACAAACCCCAGGAUCCUAAAGAACACACCCAGAGGUGGCUGGGGAGGGAGCAGAGCCAGAAGAGGCCGAUCAGAGCUGCCGCACUCCCUGUCCUCUGGGGUGGAACUGGAGACUGCCCAGCACAGGAGAGGCACAGGGAACUGGGGCGGGAGCUGUCCGUGGUCCUGGCCUACGUCAACGCGUGGAUAUUUAAGGCCAAGAACUGCGCGUCCGUCUUCUACAGCUGUUGAAGAAGUCCCGGAUUGUGGAGCUGGAACUGAUUUUAAUGAACCUGCUCACAUGCAAGGUCUGAGAUUCACGUUUCCGCACCCUCCCGAGCGAUUGCUCCUUCAUGUUGGUUUUAGCAAAGAUUUUUCUGGAUAUGAUACCAAAAGCACAAGCAACAAGAACAAAAGUAAACAAACAGGACUCUAUUAAACUAAAUUCUUCAGCACAGCAAAAGAAACAACCAACAAAAUAAAAAGGCAACCAAUGGAAUGGGAGAAAAUUCUGCAAACCAUACAUCUAAUAAGGGGUUAAUACUUGAAAUAUAUAAAUAAUUCAUACAACUCAACCAAAAACUCUCAAAAACAAAAUUUCCAAAAAUAAAAAAAAACUCAGUGGAACUGAAUAGAUAUUUUUCAAAAAUGAAAUACUCAUAGCUAGCACUCAACACUAAUCAUCAGGGAAAUGCAAAUCAAAACCACAAUGAGAUAUCACCUCACACCUGUCAGAAUGGCUAUCAUCAAAAAGGCAGGAGAUAACAAGUUUUGGCAAGGACAUGGAAGAAAGCUGACCCUCAUGUACUGUUGAUGGGAAUGUAAAUUGGUGUAGCCACUAUGGAAAACAGUAUGGAGGUUCCUUAAAAAAUUAAAAACAAAACUACCAAUAUGAGCCAGCCAUCUCACUUCUGUAUGUAUCUAAAGGAAAUUAAAAACAGAUAUUGAAGAGAUAUUUUCUCUCUCACUUUCACUACAGCAUUUCUCACAAGCCAAGGCAGAUGUUGAUCAAAGGGUACAGACUUCCAGCUGCAAGACGAGUAACUUCUGGGAAUCUAAUGUAUGCACAGUUACUAUAAUUAAUAAUACUGUAUAAUACACUUGAAAUGUACUGAGAGUAGAUUUUAAGUAUUCUUAUCUCUUGCACACACAUGUAUACACAAAUAUUAAGCAUGUGAAGUAAUCAAAGGCAUUAACUAACCCUACUGUUAUAAAACAUUUUUCAAUAUAUAUGUGUAUCAAAUCAUCAUGUUAUAACUUUAAACUUACACAAUGUGAUAUGACAAUUAUAUCUUAAUAAAUUUGGAAAGUGAAGCAUUCUACAAAAAGAAAAUGACUGUAAUAUGAAUUUUACAAAGACAAGAGACUAGCAUCAUCACUAUUGGAUUUGCUUUGUUCCUUCCAAGCAUUUUCCAUAAACAAUAACAUCUGCCUCUUUAGCUUGCUCAGAGAGGACCCUGCUUCUCCCUCUGCCCAUCGUCUUGCUUGAGCUCUCUCUCUGAAAAAUAAAUAAAUAAAAUAGAUCGGAAGAGGCACGUUUAUAGCAGCAAUUCCCACAAUAGCCAAACUAUGGAAAGAACCUAAAUGUUCAUCAAUAGAUGAAUGGAUAAAGAAGAUGUGAUACACACACACACACACACACACACACACACACACAAUGGAAUACUAUGCAGCCAUCCAAAAACUGAAAUCUGGCCAUUUGCCACGAUGUGGAUGGAAUUAGAAGAUAUUAUGCUAAGUGAAAUAAGUCAAUCAGAGAAAGACAAUUAUCAUAUGAGGAGUUUGAGAGGCAUGGUAGGGGGUUGUGGGCGGUAGGGAGGGAAAAAAAUGAAACAAGUUGGGAUCAGGGACGGGGACAAACUACAAGAGACUCUUAAUCUCGUGAAACAAACUGAGAGUUGCUCGGGGGUGAGGGUGUAGGGCUAGGGUGGCUGGGCUACAGAUAUUAGGGAGGGUAUGUGCUAUGGUGAGUACUGUGAAAUACGUAAGCUUGAUGAUUCACAGACCUGUACCCAUGCAGCAAAUAAUACAUUACAUGUUAAUUUAAAAAGAUAAAAAAAUCACAUCCAAAAAGAUAAAAUCAAUCAAUCAAUCAAUCAGGGCCUGCCAGCAUUUCCAAAGAACCACAGGUGUGUGUGGUGUGUGUGUGUGCAUGUGUGUGCGUGUGUGUGUAUGUGAGUGUAUAUGUGUGCAUGCAUGUGUGUAUAUAUAUAUAUAAUCUGAGAAUCUGUAGCACAGAGUCUGCCAUAUAGAAAGAACUACAAACAGCUGUUGAAAGACAGAAAGAAGGAAAGAAGAGGGAGGGAGAGAGGGAUGAGCAGAGGGAAGGAAGAAAGAAUCUCUUUGCUUAUUAAGAUACAUUUUGAGAAAGAGAGAAAUUUAAGUGUUUCAUGUUGGAAAAUCAAAAUCGCCAUAAACGUUUAUUCCAAACCUAUAUCUCAAGAUUCUAUGAUACAGUAACUACAAAGCAUAGCUCUUCACGUAUCCUCAGAAUACUAAAUGGUUUUGUAUCAUUCAUUACAGGUAGGGAGGCUUAGGAAUCUAAAAACUUAAAACUACCCUUGGUGCACUUCUGCUGGAUGAAGGUAAGUUGCCUUGGGAUGGUACAGUCAGGAAACUGGACACCGUGAUCUGAUUUCCAAGUACCACUAAACGCACCCCUUUAGGAACCUUCCUAUCAGACUAAAUGAAGGACAAAUCUCCAUACUUAAGACUCAAAAUAUAAACUUAAUGCUUGCCAGUCAUUAAGGUUUGAUCAUCACAGUUCUCCUCACCUACCAGGCUUAUUUAAUUGUCAUUAAUAAAUGGCUC
Long non-coding RNA from Mustela putorius furo (domestic ferret), 2861 nucleotides. The record is from Ensembl. NCBI's taxonomy places the organism in Eukaryota, Metazoa, Chordata, Mammalia, Carnivora, Mustelidae.